UGGGGAAUAUUGCACAAUGGGGGAAACCCUGAUGCAGCGACGCCGCGUGAGCGAAGAAGUAUUUCGGUAUGUAAAGCUCUAUCAGCAGGGAAGAAGAAUGACGGUACCUGACUAAGAAGCACCGGCUAAAUACGUGCCAGCAGCCGCGGUAAUACGUAUGGUGCAAGCGUUAUCCGGAUUUACUGGGUUUAAAGGGUGCGUAGGCUGUUUGUCAAGUCAGAGGUGAAAGGCCGCAGCUCAACUGUGGAAUUGCCUUUGAUACUGGCAGGCUUGAAUACUGUUGCCGUGGGAGGAAUGAGUAGUGUAGCGGUGAAAUGCAUAGAUAUUACUCAGAACACCGAUUGCGAAGGCAUCUCACGAAGCAGAGAUUGACGCUGAGGCACGAAAGCGUGAGGAUCAAACAGGAUUAGAUACCCUGGUAGU
This 423-nucleotide ribosomal RNA is filed under the name uncultured Roseburia sp. RNAcentral's name for it is "bacterial SSU rRNA". It matches the Rfam family "Bacterial small subunit ribosomal RNA", at positions 355 to 794 of the family's 1533-position model. The record is from RNAcentral. Lineage: Bacteria; Bacillati; Bacillota; Clostridia; Lachnospirales; Lachnospiraceae.